AGAGAGAGAGAGAGAGAGAGCGAAUCGAACGAAGGCGAAAUGUUGGCACGGUUCCAGGAGAGCGAAGGUCGCGCGUUCCAGCAAGUGUCCUCGGACCACGAUGUGAAGCAACUCAACGAUAGGAACGAUCUUUCGCUGUUUGUUUUU
Frieseomelitta varia is the source of this 147-nucleotide long non-coding RNA. RefSeq lists it as uncharacterized. The record is from RefSeq and is a predicted model, not a curated record. The transcript is spliced from 3 exons. Lineage: Eukaryota; Metazoa; Arthropoda; Insecta; Hymenoptera; Apidae.